AAGUCGUAACAAGGUUUCCGUAGGUGAACCUGCGGAAGGAUCAUUAACACGUAUCCACGUAUCAACCAACUGUGAACUUGUUUUCAUUCUCCCUGGCUUAUUACAUGAAUUGAAUAGAUUAAGAUAAUGAAAUGGGAACUUCGGUUCAGUCUUAAUCUAUAGCUUGUUACCUUUCGGGGUAGCAGACGAUUGUAGUAAUUCCUAGUCAGGCAAACUCUUCUACUAAUAGAAUUCUCCUUUCAUGAAUUCUGCUAGUGGGAACACACUAACACAAACCUAUAUCACACCCUUUUUUGCUAGUUGACUUUUAUAUGUUGUUUCUUUCGUACUUCAUUGUAUUGAAGAAUCACACGUUUAUUAUUUGAACGUUAAAAUUACAACUCUUAGCAAUGGAUAUCUUGGUUCUC
RNAcentral lists this unclassified non-coding RNA (407 nucleotides) under fungal sp. RNAcentral's name for it is "partial internal transcribed spacer region". The stretch from base 1 to 46 matches the Rfam family "Eukaryotic small subunit ribosomal RNA", at positions 1786 to 1831 of the family's 1831-position model. The record is from RNAcentral. Lineage: Eukaryota; Fungi.